GGCGGUUCUCAGGUAAUGCACCCCAGAAUUAGGUUCCCUCCUCUCUGGUUCCAGGUUCCUCACCCAAGAACCACA
Myotis davidii is the source of this 75-nucleotide non-coding RNA. The record is from Rfam. NCBI's taxonomy places the organism in Eukaryota, Metazoa, Chordata, Mammalia, Chiroptera, Vespertilionidae.